CCUACGGGUGGCAGCAGUGAGGAAUAUUGGUCAAUGGACGAGAGUCUGAACCAGCCAAGUAGCGUGAAGGAUGACUGCCCUAUGGGUUGUAAACUUCUUUUAUAAAGGAAUAAAACGAGGCACGUGUGCCCUUUUGCAUGUACUUUAUGAAUAAGGAUCGGCUAACUCCGUGCCAGCAGCCGCGGUAAUACGGAGGAUCCGAGCGUUAUCCGGAUUUAUUGGGUUUAAAGGGAGCGUAGAUGGGUUGUUAAGUCAGUUGUGAAAGUUUGCGGCUCAACCGUAAAAUUGCAAUUGAUACUGGCAGUCGUGAGUACAGUUGAGGUAGGCGGAAUGCGUGGUGUAGCGGUGAAAUGCUUAGAUAUCACGAAGAACUCCGAUUGCGAAGGCAGUUCACUGGACUGCAACUGACACUGAGGCUCGAAAGUGUGGGUAUCAAACAGGAUUAGAUACCCUAGUAGUC
RNAcentral lists this ribosomal RNA (460 nucleotides) under uncultured bacterium. RNAcentral's name for it is "partial 16S ribosomal RNA". It matches the Rfam family "Bacterial small subunit ribosomal RNA", at positions 338 to 795 of the family's 1533-position model. The record is from RNAcentral.